This 1346-nucleotide ribosomal RNA is filed under the name uncultured bacterium. RNAcentral's name for it is "partial 16S ribosomal RNA". It matches the Rfam family "Bacterial small subunit ribosomal RNA", at positions 28 to 1381 of the family's 1533-position model. The record is from RNAcentral.
GACGAACGCUGGCGGCGUGCUUAACACGUGCAAGUCGAACGGAAAGGCCCUGCUUUUGUGGGGUGCUCGAGUGGCGAACGGGUGAGUAACACGUGAGUAACCUGCCCUUGACUUUGGGAUAACUUCAGGAAACUGGGGCUAAUACCGGAUAGGAGCUCCUGCUGCAUGGUGGGGGUUGGAAAGUUUCGGCGGUUGGGGAUGGACUCGCGGCUUAUCAGCUUGUUGGUGGGGUAGUGGCUUACCAAGGCUUUGACGGGUAGCCGGCCUGAGAGGGUGACCGGCCACAUUGGGACUGAGAUACGGCCCAGACUCCUACGGGAGGCAGCAGUGGGGAAUAUUGCACAAUGGGCGGAAGCCUGAUGCAGCAACGCCGCGUGCGGGAUGACGGCCUUCGGGUUGUAAACCGCUUUCGCCUGUGACGAAGCGUGAGUGACGGUAAUGGGUAAAGAAGCACCGGCUAACUACGUGCCAGCAGCCGCGGUGAUACGUAGGGUGCGAGCGUUGUCCGGAUUUAUUGGGCGUAAAGGGCUCGUAGGUGGUUGAUCGCGUCGGAAGUGUAAUCUUGGGGCUUAACCCUGAGCGUGCUUUCGAUACGGGUUGACUUGAGGAAGGUAGGGGAGAAUGGAAUUCCUGGUGGAGCGGUGGAAUGCGCAGAUAUCAGGAGGAACACCAGUGGCGAAGGCGGUUCUCUGGGCCUUUCCUGACGCUGAGGAGCGAAAGCGUGGGGAGCGAACAGGCUUAGAUACCCUGGUAGUCCACGCUGUAAACGGUGGGUACUAGGUGUGGGGUCCAUUCCACGGGUUCCGUGCCGUAGCUAACGCUUUAAGUACCCCGCCUGGGGAGUACGGCCGCAAGACUAAAACUCAAAGGAAUUGACGGGGCCCCGCACAAGCGGCGGAGCAUGCGGAUUAAUUCGAUGCAACGCGUAGAACCUUACCUGGGUUUGACAUGGAUCGGGAGUGCUCAGAGAUGGGUGUGCCUCUUUUGGGGUCGGUUCACAGGUGGUGCAUGGCUGUCGUCAGCUCGUGUCGUGAGAUGUUGGGUUAAGUCCCGCAACGAGCGCAACCCUUGUUCACUGUUGCCAGCACGUUAUGGUGGGGACUCAGUGGAGACCGCCGGGGUCAACUCGGAGGAAGGUGGGGAUGACGUCAAGUCAUCAUGCCCCUUAUGUCCAGGGCUUCACGCAUGCUACAAUGGCUGGUACAGAGAGUGGCGAGCCUGUGAGGGUGAGCGAAUCUCGGAAAGCCGGUCUCAGUUCGGAUUGGGGUCUGCAACUCGACCUCAUGAAGUCGGAGUCGCUAGUAAUCGCAGAUCAGCAACGCUGCGGUGAAUACGUUCCCGGGGCU